AUGUUGCCUAAAAAGCAUCCAUCUGGUCAUCAGAAAAGAAUUAACAAGAAACGAGUAGAGAAGUUGAUUCGAUCUCAGAGAGGGGCUAUGAAUAAAUUCGUGUUGAGGAAGGACACUGCUACGAAUUCUACGCAAUUAUAUAUCACCAAUGGCGAACAACCAGAUCAGACUGAGAAUGCAGUUGAGGAAAAUCGUGCCGAUGUUGAUGCCAAUCAGAACACCGGAAAUUUUAGUGGCCAUGGAAACAUAGAUGAGCAAGCUUCUUCUUUUGAUAUUUAUGAUCCUAGAACUUGGAAUAUUCUUGACAAUAAAUCAAGAGAUAUUCUCAUUGAAAAAGGACCUACAAGGGAGUAUAAUCUUGUGUUUCCCAUGGAUAAGAAAGCCAGUGAUUGGAGGUGGUUAGUGUACUCUAAACAUGUGAAUAAAGUUUAUUGUUUUUGCUGUAAAUUGUUCAAAUCUGAAAACAGCAAAAGUUUGCUAGCAUCUGAGGGAUUGAUGGAUUGGAAACAUCUUAGUGAAAAGCUCAAAUUACAUGAGAAUGGUGCUGAGCAUAUCACUAACACGAAUACUUGGAAUGAGGUAAGGUUGAGGCUAAGUAAGAAGGAAACAAUUGAUAGAGAUUUAAUUGUUGCUGCUGUGAAAUUUCUUGCUAAACAUAAUUUGGCUUUUCGAGGAGCAAAUGAGAAAUUAUAUCAAGAUAACAAUGGGAACUUUUUGGGAGUAAUUGAAAUGAUGGCAGAAUUUGAUCCUGUAAUGCAAGAGCAUCUUCGGCGCAUUCAGAAUAAUGAAAUCCAUCAUCAUUAUCUUGGCCAUAAUAUUCAGAACGAGUUAAUUUCCUGUCUUGCUUGCGGUGUUAAAGGUUCUCUCUUGAAGAUAAUUAAGGAUGCAAGUGGACAAGGGUAUGACAAUGGUUCGAACAUGAAGGGAAAAAACAAAGGGGUACAGAGCAGAUUGCUUGCAACUAAUCCAAGAGCAUUGUACAUGCCGUGCUCUACUAAAAGAUGGCAGCUAUUGCUUGAUCAUGUUCCAAAAAUGACAGUUAAGUCUUUGUGUAACACUCGAUGGGAGAGUCAAAUAAAGAGUGUUCAUGCUAUCAGAUAUCAAGCACCUGAGUUAAGAAAAGCUUUAUUGGAAUUGAAGAGAACUUCUACUGAUGAUGCCAAGACUAAGAGCGACGCAAAAUCUUUGGCUAAUGCACUUGAGAAAUUUGAAUUUACACUGGGCAUGUCUAAAUUCGUGUGUAUUGAUGUUACUCUUAAACAGAUUGAAGGUGCCAUCUCAUAUUUUGAGAAGUAUAGAAAAGAAGGCUUUGCUACUAGCUUGGAUAUUGCGAGAUCUAUUGCAAUCGACAUGGGUGUACAGCCUUUAUUUCCUGAAAUUGAGGUGGAAUCAUUUAGAGUUAAAUACUUUCUGGUGAUGAUUGAUGUUGCAUUUGCUUCCUUGACUAGUAGAUUUGAGGAACUGAAGUCAUUUGGGAGCAUAUUUGGAUUCUUGUUCAACUCAAAAGAAUUGAAGUUGUUGGGUGAUAAUGAUCUAAGAAAAUUAUUGCAGAUGACAUUGCCAAACACACUCAUGUCAGCAGAUCAGAUAUUUGAGUUUGUUAGAGCUGCGGAUUGUUAUCCAAAUGUCUCAAUUGCUUAUCGUAUCCUCUUGACUGUACCGGUCACUGUUGCAUCGGCUGAAAGGAGUUUCUCAAAAUUGAAGUUACUGAAAAAUUAUUUAAGGUCAACAAUGUCCCAAGAUAGACUGAAUGGUUUGGCCAUGUGCUGCAUCGAGAAGAAUAUGUUGGACAGUAUUGAUCUUGACAUUGUCAUUGAUGAUUUUGCGUCAAAAAAUGCACAGAAGUCUCGCUUCUCAUGA
This 1860-nucleotide ribosomal RNA is filed under the name Triticum aestivum (bread wheat). RNAcentral's name for it is "partial small subunit ribosomal RNA". The record is from RNAcentral. Lineage: Eukaryota; Viridiplantae; Streptophyta; Magnoliopsida; Poales; Poaceae.